GAUGAACGCUAGCGGGAGGCCUAACACAUGCAAGCCGAGCGGUAUUGUUUCUUCGGAAAUGAGAGAGCGGCGUACGGGUGCGUAACACGUGUGCAACCUGCCUUUAUCUGGGGGAUAGCCUUUCGAAAGGAAGAUUAAUACUCCAUAAUAUAUUGAACGGCAUCGUUUAAUAUUGAAAGCUCCGGCGGAUAGAGAUGGGCACGCGCAAGAUUAGCUAGUUGGUGAGGUAACGGCUCACCAAGGCGAUGAUCUUUAGGGGGCCUGAGAGGGUGAUCCCCCACACUGGUACUGAGACACGGACCAGACUCCUACGGGAGGCAGCAGUGAGGAAUAUUGGUCAAUGGGUGCAAGCCUGAACCAGCCAUCCCGCGUGAAGGACGACUGCCCUAUGGGUUGUAAACUUCUUUUGUACAGGGAUAAACCUACCCUCGAGAGGGUAGCUGAAGGUACUAUACGAAUAAGCACCGGCUAACUCCGUG
RNAcentral lists this ribosomal RNA (479 nucleotides) under uncultured bacterium. RNAcentral describes it as "partial 16S ribosomal RNA". It matches the Rfam family "Bacterial small subunit ribosomal RNA", at positions 28 to 507 of the family's 1533-position model. The record is from RNAcentral.